RNAcentral lists this ribosomal RNA (879 nucleotides) under Triticum aestivum (bread wheat). Its description in RNAcentral is "partial small subunit ribosomal RNA". Lineage: Eukaryota; Viridiplantae; Streptophyta; Magnoliopsida; Poales; Poaceae. The record is from RNAcentral.
AUGGCGGCGCCGGAGACCUCCGCCUGCGGCGCGGGCCCCGCGCUCCUCUUCCCGUCGUCGUCCUCCUCCUCCUCGUCCGCGCGGGUGGAGGCCGUCGUCGUAUUCACCAUCUGCGACAGCUUCGUGCGCCGGCCCGACCAGGCGGAGCGCGUCAUCGGCACCCUCCUCGGCUCCGUCCUCCCCGACGGCACCGUCCACGUCCGCAACGCCUACGUCGUCCCCCACAGCGAGUCCGCCGACCAGGUUGCUCUCGACAUUGAGUACCACCACAACAUGUAUGCGUCGCACCAGAAGGUGAACCCCAAGGAAGUGCUUGUGGGAUGGUUCUCCACUGGCUUUGGUGUUUCAGGGGGUAGUACGCUUAUCCACGAAUUUUAUUCAAGAGAAGUACAGAGCCCUAUUCAUCUUACUGUUGACACUGGCUUCACCAUGGGGGAGGCUUCCAUCAAAGCCUAUGUCUCAUCCAACCUGUCUCUUGGAGAUAGGCACCUUGCUGCACAAUUUCAGGAAAUUCCUCUGGAGUUGAAGAUGCUUGAUGCAGAAAAAGUUGGAUUUGAAAUGCUGAAAUCUACGAUGGUGGAGAAGCUCCCCAAUGAUUUGGAAGGAAUGGAGUCUUCAAUGCAAAAGCUAUAUGCUCUUAUUGACGAGAUCUACAAAUAUGUUGAUGAUGUUGUCGAAGCUCGUGUGGCACCGGACAACAAGAUAGGCAGGUUCAUUGCUGACACCGUCUCCUCCAUGCCAAAGCUGUCUCCAGCAUCUUUUGACAGGCUCUUCAAUGACAAGAUUCAGGACAAUCUUGCGCUGGUAUACCUGUCAAGCAUCACACGGACUCAGAUCGCGGUCGCCGAGAAGCUGAACACCGCCGCCCAAGUCCUGUGA